UAUGAUCUGGGGACACAAAAUUUCAGCCCUAGUUGUAUGGUUGGUGAUCUAUAAUCUCAUGCAUCUUGGGUAAUAUGGGUGUUUGGGAGCUUGCCUGAGGAGAAGAUUUUCUCGAAUCUUCCAGAGAAAAAUUAAUUAUGGAUCUUGGUAGAAACGUCGAGCCUUUCCGCAUUUCUCUUGCGGAUUCCAUUGGAAAAAAUAGAUGGAGAUUCCAAGGCGCCAUGGCUCUAUGCCGGUCACGAUUCCGACCGUUAUCGUCCUCAAAGAUGACGUCAUCAGUCUGCCUACCGUUAGUCUCACCGAAGCCCUUUUUAUCCUCCCCUCUUCUAUUCGUCGGUUUCUCUCAUGGCCAACAUCAAGUCCUUUUUUUUUUGGUGGGGGGGGUUGGGGGUUAGACGGAUCAUCAAGCUCUGUCACCGGCGUUUAGAAGGACUGGGAGUGAGAAGUUAAGGAGGUUAAGUGUUCCGGGGUUUUGGCGUGGGAGAGAUGGACUAGGGGAUGUCGUCCUCCACCUCGGGCCGGUGGCGGUACCGUCGCCCCUCCUACGACUUGAAGCGGCCGAGGCGGAUGGCGCUGGUCUCCAUUGUUUUCGUCGUCGUCACCUUCGGCCUCUGCGAUCGGCAGUCCAUGGUCCGGAAACACGGGUUGCAGAACAUAGAAGAUGAUUUGUGGAAUUCUGGAGAAGUUAUAGUUGGCAUUGUUGGUAAAUUGAGCAACGUGGAUCUUGUCUACCAUGAUCCAAAUGACAAUCAGCACAGAAAAAGUGAGAGAGGCUAUGCUUCAUGCAUGGAAUUCUUAUGGAAUGCAUGGGCCCAAGAUGAACUUCAGAAACUGUGACAGGAUUUGAACUCCUGAAGGGUGUGCAUAGGUGGUGGAUGGUGAGCUUAAGAAGGGUGUACAUAUCCUCCGUUUGAGAUAUUCAUGAUACUGCAGGUUAUGCUUUUGGUCAUUCACCUUGUCAACAAUUCCAGUCCAAGGAACACAAGUUGUUGGAGAUGGGAUGAUAGCGGGGGUUUUUUGUGAAAAUCCACUGGCUUCUUAAUUGAUGGAGGCCUCUGGCUUGAGGUUCAGAUAAAAAGACAGUCCUUCAUUUGAUUGGUUGGGAAUGCAAGACACCUAAAAGCAAGGAAGUGUUGCUGAUUUAUGAUCAGAUGCAAAAGCACUCACCUUCUUUCAGUGGAGGAUGACUUAAUAGUCAAAUAUGUAAUGGUACUGACUAUUUACUUCCAGAGGAAGCAACAAGUUUGAACCCAUUGUCAUUUAAUCUGGCACUGCAAAUCCUUUAUUUGUCUAAACUAUUGCAAUUGAUUAACUGACCUAUGCUGCCUGCUUUGCUUUGUCAUGUAAAUAUCUGAAUUGCAGCACAUGGGACAUGUCUUCUCUUUCAUCAAC
Elaeis guineensis (African oil palm) is the source of this 1392-nucleotide non-coding RNA. The record is from RefSeq and is a predicted model, not a curated record. Lineage: Eukaryota; Viridiplantae; Streptophyta; Magnoliopsida; Arecales; Arecaceae.